AUGUACCACUCGUACACUCCGGUUCCUGCGCGUCGUCCGCACCCACCUGACAACUGCUCGCUACGUUUUGUCAGCC
This 76-nucleotide small RNA is filed under the name Xanthomonas pisi. Its description in RNAcentral is "sX9 sRNA". It matches the Rfam family "Xanthomonas sRNA sX9". RNAcentral also lists the same sequence under 1 other name. The record is from RNAcentral. Lineage: Bacteria; Pseudomonadati; Pseudomonadota; Gammaproteobacteria; Lysobacterales; Lysobacteraceae.